Molecule: ribosomal RNA, 445 nt
Filed under: Ophthalmolepis lineolata (Maori wrasse)
Lineage: Eukaryota; Metazoa; Chordata; Actinopteri; Labriformes; Labridae
Description: partial 12S rRNA
Rfam family: Bacterial small subunit ribosomal RNA
Source: RNAcentral
UUGAAACCCAAAGGACUUGGCGGUGCUUUAGAUCCACCUAGAGGAGCCUGUUCUAGAACCGAUAAUCCCCGUUAAACCUCACCUUUCCUUGUCUUAUCCGCCUAUAUACCGCCGUCGUCAGCUUACUCUGUGAGGAGUUUGUAGUAAGCAUAACCGGUACAACCUAAAACGCCAGGUCGAGGUGUAGCGAAUGGAGAGGGAAGAAAUGGGCUACAUUCAAUAACUUAUAAUGAAUACGAAUGAUGUCCUGAAAUGGAUAUCUAAAGGAGGAUUUAGUAGUAAGCAGAGAAUAGAGCGCCCUGCUGAAAUUGGCCCUGAAGCGCGUACACACCGCCCGUCACUCUCCCCGAGCUAAUCGACAUACACAUUACUAAUAAACCAGAACUGCAAAGGGGAGGCAAGUCGUAACAUGGUAAGCGUACCGGAAGGUGCGCUUGGAAAAACU